GGCUGUCCACUAGUCGCUGUGAGCUAUAUGUUCAGCCUGUAUUAUGUGCUGAAUAUAAAGUAUCCAACGGGAGCAGCCCUGACUCUGGAGUUCAUCCAGAGGUGCCUGCUGGGGAUAAACCCAGAACGGGGCACGAAAGCAGAAAAGCGGGGGAAACAGUACAACAUCCCUCCAAAACUGCUUAGAUUCCUGUCGGACCUUAAUGACUUCAAGAAUCCGUGGAAGAUUUAAAGCAGAAGAAGCAUCUCAAACAGAGAAAGGAGAGUGAUGUGUGUCUGUGGACACCCAUCUUUACGGAGGACAACCAUGGUAUUAUUAACUUUUUUUAAAUAAGGACCAUUUUGCAAAAGUGAGGACAUUUCAGCCGACUACACUUUAUUUUCC
Molecule: long non-coding RNA, 384 nt
Organism: Etheostoma spectabile (orangethroat darter)
Lineage: Eukaryota; Metazoa; Chordata; Actinopteri; Perciformes; Percidae
Exons: 3
Source: RefSeq, a predicted model, not a curated record